This is a long non-coding RNA of Helianthus annuus (common sunflower), 404 nucleotides long. RefSeq lists it as uncharacterized. The record is from RefSeq and is a predicted model, not a curated record. The transcript has 3 exons. NCBI's taxonomy places the organism in Eukaryota, Viridiplantae, Streptophyta, Magnoliopsida, Asterales, Asteraceae.
AUGGUUAAAACACAUAAACUUUAGAACAAAACAAAGUUGGGGGACUAAACUUGUUAAAUUGAAAAAGCUGGUUAAUAAUUGUAACAAAACCAACCAAACACACCAAAAUUGGUGUGUCUGGUCGAUCAGGAGCAAGAAAGGGGCGACCCCCAUCCCUCAAACCCUAGAAUCUUCACAAAAUUCACAAAUUGAGGCUGCAAAUCUGCUUCAAAUCAAGUUCUAAACACGAAUUAACGAUCACCUAAUCAUAGUGAUCAACAGGCAAAGAGUCCGGAUCGUCAAGCGGACAAACCGAAGGGAAUCCACGGGGAAAGGGCGUGCUCUAAAGUUUUCAGGUAUUCAAGAAAAAGGAUGAUGAUCAAGCAUAACUAUCCGAACCGAACACUCUAGCAAACGCUUCCGCA